GAGGAUAUCGCUCAGUAAUAGAGUGCCUGCUUAACACGCACGAGGUCCUGGGUUCAAUCCCCAGCACCUACG
This 72-nucleotide transfer RNA is filed under the name Camelus bactrianus (Bactrian camel). It matches the Rfam family "tRNA". From Rfam's summary of the family: Transfer RNA (tRNA) molecules are approximately 80 nucleotides in length. Their secondary structure includes four short double-helical elements and three loops (D, anti-codon, and T loops). Further hydrogen bonds mediate the characteristic L-shaped molecular structure. tRNAs have two regions of fundamental functional importance: the anti-codon, which is responsible for specific mRNA codon recognition, and the 3' end, to which the tRNAs corresponding amino acid is attached (by aminoacyl-tRNA synthetases). tRNAs cope with the degeneracy of the genetic code in two manners: having more than one tRNA (with a specific anti-codon) for a particular amino acid; and 'wobble' base-pairing, i.e. permitting non-standard base-pairing at the 3rd anti-codon position. The record is from Rfam by way of RNAcentral. Lineage: Eukaryota; Metazoa; Chordata; Mammalia; Artiodactyla; Camelidae. RNAcentral also lists the same sequence under 1 other name.